This 460-nucleotide ribosomal RNA is filed under the name uncultured bacterium. Its description in RNAcentral is "partial 16S ribosomal RNA". It matches the Rfam family "Bacterial small subunit ribosomal RNA", at positions 338 to 795 of the family's 1533-position model. The record is from RNAcentral.
CCUACGGGAGGCAGCAGUGAGGAAUAUUGGUCAAUGGGCGCGAGCCUGAACCAGCCAAGUAGCGUGAAGGAUGACUGCCCUACGGGUUGUAAACUUCUUUUAUAAAGGAAUAAAGUGAGGCACGUGUGCCUUUUUGUAUGUACUUUAUGAAUAAGGAUCGGCUAACUCCGUGCCAGAAGCCGCGGUAAGACGGAGUAACCGGGCGUUAUCCGGAUUUAUUGGGUUUAAAGGGAGCGUAGAUGGGUUUUUAAAGCAGUUGGGAAAGUUUGCGGCUCAACCGUAAAAUUGCAAGUGAUACUGGCAGUCUUGAGUACAGUUGAGGUAGGCGGAAUUCGUGGUGUAGCGGUGAAAUGCUUAGAUAUCACGAAGAACUCCGAUUGCGAAGGCAGCUUACUAAACUGCCACUGACAUUGAUGCUCGAAAGUGUGGGUAUCAAACAGGAGUAGAUACCCCAGUAGUC